GACGAACGCUGGCGGCGUGCUUAACACAUGCAAGUCGAACGGAAAGGCCCUGCUUUUGUGGGGUGCUCGAGUGGCGAACGGGUGAGUAACACGUGAGUAACCUGCCCUUGACUUUGGGAUAACUUCAGGAAACUGGGGCUAAUACCGGAUAGGAGCUCCUGCUGCAUGGUGGGGGUUGGAAAGUUUCGGCGGGUGGGGAUGGACUCGCGGCUUAUCAGCUUGUUGGUGGGGUAGUGGCUUACCCAGCGUUUGACGGGUAGCCGGCCUGAGAGGGUGACCGGGGACAUGGGGACUGAGAGAGGGCCCAGACGCCUACGGUGGGCAGCAGUGGGGAAUAUUGCACAAUGGGCGGAAGCCGGAUGCAGCAACGCCGCGUGCGGGAUGACGGCCUUCGGGGUGUAAACCGCUGUCGCCUGUGACGAAGCGGGAGUGACGGUAAUGGGUAAAGAAGCACCGGCUAACUACGUG
Molecule: ribosomal RNA, 468 nt
Filed under: uncultured bacterium
Lineage: Bacteria
Description: partial 16S ribosomal RNA
Rfam family: Bacterial small subunit ribosomal RNA
Source: RNAcentral